This 32-nucleotide non-coding RNA is filed under the name Mus musculus (house mouse). The record is from RNAcentral. Lineage: Eukaryota; Metazoa; Chordata; Mammalia; Rodentia; Muridae.
UAAGGUCCCGCUAUACCUUGAAUAUAGUUUGU